AAUAGUAGUUUUCCUUUGGUGUCGCAAGAUUGUUUUUAAAAAACAUAACAUUUCUGUUGGAAAUGAAGUAUUUGAAAAACAGUCGAAUCAUGAAAACGUAUUUGGGAAAAUUCGCGCCAAUUUUUUUGCCAACGUUUUUGCGAACUAUGAGAAAAUAUAAAAGUAAGUAGUUAAAUCAAAUACACGGAUACGUAGCAGCGCUACGAAUCAAUUAGUACUUUCACUGAUCCGAAUUUCGUGAAAAAGUGUUUCGCCGUCUCGAAUCGCCUCGGUUUAUAGACACGAGUUUUUUUUAUUUACGUGAAAGUUUAGUUUGCAAUAAGCAGGAACGUCUUUCUUUUUUUCAUCAUAGUGUGUUUCAGUCUUCGAGUUGGAAUGACAUUCACACGUAUCAAUGAGGGAAAAUAUUUUGCCCGGAAGAGAGACGAGUGAUAUAUUUGCACUGUCAUAAUUAAAAUUUAUGACAGUGUUUAUGAACAGAUAAAAAAAUAGAUAAAGCAUUUGAAUGCCAGAUCUUAUUAAACAAUGAAUAAUCUUUCUCAUAAAUAGAAAAAUGUUCUAAAGGAAAUUUUUAUAAACAAAUACUAAUGAGUGCAAAGUAAUAAUCUGUAAUAAUGUGUUUUAUUAAUUUGAAUAUAUUUUUUUAAUAUUAAAAAGAUUAAUUCAUUUUUAAUUAAUUAAUUAAAAAAUGUUAAGCCGUGUAUCUUAAUUACGAAGAUAAUUAGACUUUAAUGGAGUACAAAUAUAAAAUGCUUUAGAUUUUUCAUAUUUUUUUUCAUUCGUUGACCAAACUUAAAAUUAAUCUUUCUUUAAGUGUUGAGGAAGUGCUGAAAACGUGAAAAAUUAAUGUGAGAACUAUGAUAGUGUAUACAUUUUUUUGCACUAAUUAGAAUUGUAAUUAAUGUGCAGCUAUGGGCUACAUGUACGAUGACUCCGACCAAGAUGAGAGAUAAUUAUCGACCAUAACGGUUGUAAUAAUUAGAGUUGCUAGAGAGUGAUAUGGCUACAAAUGCAGUUUUGUAUACGGAUAUAUAGAUUAAGCAUUAUUAAAAUGUAUACUGAUAUUUAACUACUUAAAUAAUUUUACAAAAGUUAUCGAGUUGCGAGGAAGGACUCGAUAAACGACUCGCUGAAAUAUCAAAGGAUGCCAUUAGGAUAAUUAUCCUCAUCUGCGAGCAACGGACUCUAUUGCUCGAAUAAUAAAAAGUCGCUUUGUUUAAAGGACAAUGGAACCUGUUAAAUAACAGGUAUGCCGCUUAACGAGGCAUGCCAAUUAAUCGCUAUAAUUAUAUGAAAGCUAGCUGAUAUAAAGCUAGCUUUAAAAAUCGGCAGUUUUAAAUUACACACAGUCGGAGCUUGGCGGAACUGAAUACAGAUUUUCGUGCACCAACGCGACGUUAAGGAAUACUGUGAUGUAUAAUAUUUAAGAUAAAGACGAAUGAAUCGUUUAAUUUCUGCGCUACUUUCUGCCAUGUCUUGAUAGAAGCAUUUUUAUUCAAAAUAAUUCUAAUUUUUUGAUGUCAAUUAAAUUAAAAAAAGACCAAAAAUUAAAUUAAAAAAAAAAGUAAUUAGUGAAGAAUAAAUAAGCGGACAUUUUAUAAGUAAAUUUUAUAAGUUAUAGAAUUUCGUAUAAGUUUUAACAAUUCGGUCAUGCAUUAGUAUUAAUAUUUAAAUAGAAUUUUUUAAAUUUUCUUAAAAUUAAUCUAUUCUUUUAGUCCCUUAAUAAAAAUAAGAUAGUUCAAUAUUGCUGCCACGUUAUAAUCUUGCUAUUCAAUCUUACAGUAAUCUGGUUAUUCGGGAUAAGACAGUUUCCAGGAAAGAAUUGCAUACCGACAAUUUUAGUGUGCCACGACCUUCAUAUGAGAGAAUUAUUCCCGGUGUGAUAAAAGUUCUAUUCACCUUCCGGAGACAUUUCUUGUAUAUAGAAACGACAUACCGUGUUAAAUCGAUCUCCGUUCAGGCGUGCAGAUUGAGGAAUGUAGAUCAUGAAUAAAAUAUCUUCGGGGGUACUCCGCUCACUCGAAUGACAACUAAAUGACAACACGGGAGAUACUUGAAUGCAACGAUAAUUACCCCUUCCACUCGAGCGGCGCGAGGAAUGAAAUACAUCGCUACGAGAUGCAGUUACGGGAACCGACGUCUUCUCCCAUUCAUUUCCAGCCGUUCGCACAGUUCUUUUCACGCAUGAUCGGUAAUAUAUAUGGGAAGAUAUACGCGCAAUUUAUUUACGUCGUUUACAUUGUUAUUCCCCUCGAGAUGCUUCGCUUCUCGUGAUUACGAGGUAAGAACGUUCGUAACGCGCACCCGCGGACUCAUGGCCUGUAGGGGCCUUUGUGAAUGUGGAUCGUGACUGUUUUGCACCGAUCCUACGAUCGUGCCGGGAUACACAAGGUGCGCUCAGAUCAAUGACGUAACGCCGUAAGUGAUUGCGCAGAACAACGGGACCAGAUACCCGGUUGGAUAUAGAGCAUCCGUAAUCUGUGACAUACAUCGAUAUUCAAAUUCAUGCGAUUCACUUUCAACUCAGAUCAUUCUGAUAAAUCGAUUGAAUGAUACCACUAAAUGAAUAAGUCGUUGUUUAGAUAAAGAUGCUUAGCUUCUCUUAGUAGUUCCUCUUAGAGCACUAAGCUUAUUUAUACGUACCUCUUUAUAACUUAUAUAAAUUAAUUUUCUUUUACCAUUUCAUUUAGUUUGCAUUUUGCGAAAUAAUAUUUACAAACCUACUUAAAGUUGCUAAUAUUCAAAUAUUUUUUCUAAUACCAACAUUGAUUAUUCAGAAAAUAAAGUUAUUACAUUGCUAUAUAUUGAUAUAAAGUCUAAUUUUAUCCAAUAUUCAAAACAUAAAAUUAUGUUUAUAAAAAUAAAAAUAAAGUUUUCUUAACGUUGGAAAAGUGACUUGGUAUAUUAUAAGAGUCAAUAUUUCCUUCAAAAUGUUCAACUUUAUUGAAAUUAUGACAAUAAACGUGUAGAAAAUUAACCAAAAUCAAAAUUCUAUUUUUCAUAAAAAAA
This 3009-nucleotide long non-coding RNA is filed under the name Monomorium pharaonis (pharaoh ant). RNAcentral's name for it is "uncharacterized LOC105834113". Lineage: Eukaryota; Metazoa; Arthropoda; Insecta; Hymenoptera; Formicidae. The record is from RNAcentral.